This 482-nucleotide ribosomal RNA is filed under the name uncultured bacterium. Its description in RNAcentral is "partial 16S ribosomal RNA". It matches the Rfam family "Bacterial small subunit ribosomal RNA", at positions 28 to 523 of the family's 1533-position model. The record is from RNAcentral.
AGUGAACGUUGGCGGCGUGGAUUAGGCAUGCAAGUCGAGCGAGAACCGUAGCAAUACGGGGACAGCGGCGAAAGGGACAGUAAUGUGUAGGUACCUACCUCCGGGUUCGGGAUAGCUGCGGGAAACUGCAGGUAAUACCGAAUAACGUCUGAGGACCAAAGGUGUGAUUCCACCUGGAGAGGGGCCUGCAUCCUAUUAGCUUGUUGGCGGGGUAACGGCCCACCAAGGCGACGAUGGGUAGCGGGUGUGAGAGCACGACCCGCGUCAUUGGGACUGAGACACUGCCCAGACACCUACGGGUGGCUGCAGUCGUGAAUCUUCGGCAAUGGGCGCAAGCCUGACCGAGCGACGCCGCGUGCGGGAUGAAGGCCUUCGGGUUGUAAACCGCUGUCGUAGAGGAGGAAAUGCAGGGGGGUUCUCCCCUCUGUUUGACCUAUUCUAGGAGGAAGUACGGGCUAAGUUCGUGCCAGCAGCCGCAGUAA